GGUGGUGUAGCUCAGUGGUAGGACACUUGUCUAGUGCUUAGGAGGCCCAGGGUUCAAUUCCCAGCACCCCA
This 71-nucleotide transfer RNA is filed under the name Mus musculus (house mouse). It matches the Rfam family "tRNA". Rfam says of the family: Transfer RNA (tRNA) molecules are approximately 80 nucleotides in length. Their secondary structure includes four short double-helical elements and three loops (D, anti-codon, and T loops). The record is from Rfam by way of RNAcentral. Lineage: Eukaryota; Metazoa; Chordata; Mammalia; Rodentia; Muridae.